AAUGAAGUGCCUGAUCUAAAAGGAUUACUGUGAUAGAGUAAAUCAUGUAAUAUUUUUACCUUCAUUA
This 67-nucleotide transfer RNA is filed under the name Mecopoda elongata. RNAcentral's name for it is "tRNA-Ile". The record is from RNAcentral. Lineage: Eukaryota; Metazoa; Arthropoda; Insecta; Orthoptera; Tettigoniidae.